AAUUAAUCUAUUUUUAUCUACUUCUAAUUAAUCAUAUAAGAAAUUAUUGGAAUAAAUAUGUAUGUCCAUGACAAUAACAUCUUUAAAAGUCAUCUCCUUGCAAUAGGUGUGCAUCAUGCCUGGAUCAUCAUUCUCAAUACCAUCAAUAAAUUGAUCAUUCUACCUAACAGACUCUAACCAUAAUUUAUGCUAAUAGAUUGAAAUGCAUAAUAAAAAUAUUUACACUACAUAAAAAUCAUGGAACAAUACAUUCAAAAUAUCUUCAUUGUUAGCAUCAUUG
RNAcentral lists this long non-coding RNA (280 nucleotides) under Physcomitrium patens. RNAcentral describes it as "long non-coding RNA (PPAT_LNC008795)". The record is from RNAcentral. Lineage: Eukaryota; Viridiplantae; Streptophyta; Bryopsida; Funariales; Funariaceae.